Long non-coding RNA from Mizuhopecten yessoensis (Yesso scallop), 355 nucleotides. RefSeq lists it as uncharacterized. Lineage: Eukaryota; Metazoa; Mollusca; Bivalvia; Pectinida; Pectinidae. The record is from RefSeq and is a predicted model, not a curated record. The transcript is spliced from 4 exons.
UUUUUUUCAGCUUACUUUACCAGACAUGUCCUGGCCUCUGAAGAUCUUCCCAGGAAGUUCUUCACUGUUGGCAGGUCCUAUGAUGUGGAGCAGGAGAGUAGUGUGUUGCCUGGGUUGUACGGGGCCCCACAGAAUAUAUGUGCAGAGGUGGCAGCCUUGACCAGGGACACCACUCAGAAUGAGGCGCUGUACGAUGACCUUCAAGCCUUGUUGUGGACCAGUCUCAAGGAUCAAGGCAUCCCAGCCAGGUUUGUCCUAGUGCCUGCACAUUCCCUUCACUGCUCUGAGAAGAAGAGAACAGAGGUUCAGUUCUGGUCACCAAGUCUACAGCAAUAUGCACAGGUAAUGGUCAGUG